GAAAAGACAAACACUGAGUUUCCGUAUUCAACUUUAACUGUCCAUCUUAUAUGAAAUUAUUUUAUAAUUCGUAUUUUCAUUGUUGUUAGAUGAUAAAACAUGAUUAAUAUUUUAUGUGUGACUUGUCUUUUUAUUUUUUUUACAAUCUUUUCAAAUAAGACAGACAGUCAAACGUUGGACACGGAAACCAAUGUUUGUCUUUUUU
Non-coding RNA from Oryza nivara, 205 nucleotides. NCBI's taxonomy places the organism in Eukaryota, Viridiplantae, Streptophyta, Magnoliopsida, Poales, Poaceae. The record is from Rfam.